CCCUUAGAUGUCCUGGGCUGCACGCGCGCUACACUGAUGUGUCCAGUAAGCACCUAACCUCUUCCGAAAGGAACGGGUAACCUUUGCAAAGCACAUCGUGAUGGGGAUAGAUUAUUGCAAUUAUUAGUCUUGAACGAGGAAUUCCUAGUAAGCGCAAGUCAUCAGCUUGUGUUGAUUACGUCCCUGCCCUUUGUACACACCGCCCGUCGCUCCUACCGAUUGAAUGUUCCGGUGAGCUCUUCGGACUGCGCGGUCUGCAGUUUCUGCGUUCCGUGCGGAAAGUUGCGCAAACCUUAACAUUUAGAGGAAGGAGAAGUCGUAACA
Molecule: ribosomal RNA, 324 nt
Filed under: uncultured eukaryote
Lineage: Eukaryota
Description: partial 18S ribosomal RNA
Rfam family: Eukaryotic small subunit ribosomal RNA
Source: RNAcentral